AUUGAACGCUGGCGGCAGGCCUAACACAUGCAAGUCGAGCGGAUGAAGGGAGCUUGCUCCUGGAUUCAGCGGCGCACGCGUGAGUAAUGCCUAGGAAUCUGCCUGGUAGUGGGGGAUAACGUCCGGAAACGGGUGCUAAUACCGCAUACGUCCUGCGGGAGAUACUGGGGGGUCUUCGGACCUUACGCUAUCAGAUGAGCCUAGGUCGGGUUAGCUAGUUGGUGGGGUAAAGGCCUACCAAGGCGACGAUCCGUAGCUGGUCUGAGAGGAUGAUCAGUCACACUGGAACUGGAACACGGUCCAGACGCCUACGGGAGGCAGCAGUGGGGAAUAUUGGACAGUGGGCGAAAGCCUGAUCCAGCCAUGCCGCGUGUGUGAAGAAGGUCUUCGGAUUGUAAAGCACGUUAAGUUGGGAGGAAGGGCAGUAAGUUAAUACCUUGCUGUAUUGACGGUACCAACAGAAUAAGCACCGGCUAACUUCGUG
Molecule: ribosomal RNA, 484 nt
Filed under: uncultured bacterium
Lineage: Bacteria
Description: partial 16S ribosomal RNA
Rfam family: Bacterial small subunit ribosomal RNA
Source: RNAcentral